ACAUUGGGACUGAGACACGGCCCAAACUCCUACGGGAGGCUGCAGUAGGGAAUCUUCCACAAUGGGCGAAAGCCUGAUGGAGCAACGCCGCGUGUGUGAUGAAGGCUUUCGGGUCGUAAAGCACUGUUGUAUGGGAAGAAAAGUUAAGGUAGGGAAUGACCUUAGCCUGACGGUACCAUACCAGAAAGGGACGGCUAAAUACGUGCCAGCAGCCGCGGUAAUACGUAUGUCCCGAGCGUUAUCCGGAUUUAUUGGGCGUAAAGCGAGCGCAGACGGUUGGUUAAGUCUGAUGUGAAAGCCCGGAGCUCAACUCCGGAAAGGCAUUGGAAACUGGUUAACUUGAGUGCAGUAGAGGUAAGUGGAACUCCAUGUGUAGCGGUGGAAUGCGUAGAUAUAUGGAAGAACACCAGCGGCGAAGGCGGCUUACUGGACUGUAACUGACGUUGAGGCUCGAAAGUGUGGGUAGCAAACAGGAUUAGAUACCCUGGUAGUCCACACCGUAAACGAUGAACACUAGGUGUUAGGAGGUUUCCGCCUCUUAGUGCCGAAGCUAACGCAUUAAGUGUUCCGCCUGGGGAGUACGACCGCAAGGUUGAAACUCAAAGGAAUUGACGGGGACCCGCACAAGCGGUGGAGCAUGUGGUUUAAUUCGAAGCAACGCGAAGAACCUUACCAGGUCUUGACAUCCUUUGAAGCUUUUAGAAAUAGAAGUGUUCUCUUCGGAGACAAAGUGACAGGUGGUGCAUGGUCGUCGUCAGCUCGUGUCGUGAGAUGUUGGGUUAAGUCCCGCAACGAGCGCAACCCUUAUUGUUAGUUGCCAGCAUUCAGAUGGGCACUCUAGCGAGACUGCCGGUGACAAACCGGAGGAAGGCGGGGACGACGUCAGAUCAUCAUGCCCCUUAUGACCUGGGCUACACACGUGCUACAAUGGCGUAUACAACGAGUUGCCAACCUGCGAAGGUGAGCUAAUCUCUUAAAGUACGUCUCAGUUCGGACUGCAGUCUGCAACUCGACUGCACGAAGUCGGAAUCGCUAGUAAUCGCGGAUCAGCACGCCGCGGUGAAUACGUUCCCGGGUCUUGUACACACCGCCCGUCACACCAUGGAAGUUUGUAAUGCCCAAAGCCGGUGGCCUAACCGUAAGGAGGGAACC
RNAcentral lists this ribosomal RNA (1152 nucleotides) under Leuconostoc carnosum. RNAcentral's name for it is "bacterial SSU rRNA". It matches the Rfam family "Bacterial small subunit ribosomal RNA", at positions 310 to 1454 of the family's 1533-position model. Lineage: Bacteria; Bacillati; Bacillota; Bacilli; Lactobacillales; Lactobacillaceae. The record is from RNAcentral.